UAUAUAUACGAGAGAAAGACUGCUCGAGCGCUUGCGAGAAAGUCGCUGACUUGACGCUGAUGUCCCUCUAGCGGCGAGGAAUGCGAAAUCUAUUGCUACUGUUGUGUUGCAUUCGGUUCCGACAGCGGAAAGUAAUAAUUAUUAUUAUUUAUUAGUUAAUAUCGACGACGUACGAUACCGCGACUAUGAUUCCGUUAACCCUUUGCACUCGGAUAUCCACUGGGGAUAGAGUCACGUUGUACGUGACAGAUAUUACAGGUUAUGUUAAUUAAUUAAUUCGACCGUGUUCCCUUGGAUAAACGUGUGCUUAUGGAAAUGGAAAUUGCGAGAGAAAGCGGGCCAACUAUUCCUUAACUAUGAAUAGUUGUUCUGUGAAAAGAAUAUCAAUGUCAUUAUGUAUUGUUGAAGCACCUUAUACGUAUACCUUAUCUAUCUGGAAAGAUCGAAUUUAAAUAGAGAGAAAGAAAAAUGGUUGAUUGAUUGAUUAAACGGAACAAUAUUGAUUUCGAGUCGAUCCAGUGCCACAAGAAGAAAGAACAAGUAUUAAGCCUGUUCGAUCAACAUGAUUUCAGUUUCAGUUUGUAUUUGUGUGUGCAUGAUGCCAUCUUUAAAUUAAAAUCAAUGUCUGCAACCACAAUCAAGGCUGCUUGUUUAACAUUGAGAGUAAUUCCAUUAUUAUUACUGGAUGCUUGAUAUUUCAACUAAAACCAAGUAACUGUUUACUUAAUUAUUCAUUUAUAUACAAUAUUUCAAACUAAGACAUCGAUUGAAUCCUUGCCACUUGAUGUAUUAACAGGAGAGAAUAUGAAUUACAUUUAGGAUUUACUACCAAGUAUAAGGUUACUCCAUAUAUAUGAUACUUAUGCCCUCGUAAGCUUUAAAAGAAGUAAUAAUCAUAUAUAAUCAUCGCAACUACCAAAAAACACACACGUUUACAAAGUUAUAUGCUAUAACUUUACUUAUAUAUAUAUAUAUACUCUAUACUACUUAUAAAUAUACUAUACUAUAACAUUAAAUAGUAUACAAAGUUAUAUACUGUUUAAUGUAGUGCCUUUCUUAUACGCACAGUGCAGAGGGUUAAUGGCAACAAAAUUCUCUUUCAGACAAAGGCUUUGAUUGGUUAUAGGUUAGGUUACCUGCCGCGCAAUCACAUGUUCAUUUAUUUAAAUAGGCAGUCGGACAAAUGACAAGAAAUAGGACAAUUUCAUUCGCUAUACACUCACAGGUUAGGUUACGAUACGUAUUCCGUUACAUUAAAGUGAAUCUUUUGCCAAUAAAUAUCACAUUGUAAACUGCAA
Long non-coding RNA from Hylaeus anthracinus, 1298 nucleotides. RefSeq lists it as uncharacterized. NCBI's taxonomy places the organism in Eukaryota, Metazoa, Arthropoda, Insecta, Hymenoptera, Colletidae. The transcript is spliced from 2 exons. The record is from RefSeq and is a predicted model, not a curated record.